Molecule: ribosomal RNA, 427 nt
Filed under: Klebsiella pneumoniae
Lineage: Bacteria; Pseudomonadati; Pseudomonadota; Gammaproteobacteria; Enterobacterales; Enterobacteriaceae
Description: bacterial LSU rRNA
Rfam family: Bacterial large subunit ribosomal RNA
Source: RNAcentral
GGGUUGUGAGGUUAAGCGACUAAGCGUACACGGUGGAUGCCCUGGCAGUCAGAGGCGAUGAAGGACGUGCUAAUCUGCGAAAAGCGUCGGUAAGGUGAUAUGAACCGUUAUAACCGGCGAUGUCCGAAUGGGGAAACCCAGUGUGAUUCGUCACACUAUCGUUAACUGAAUACAUAGGUUAACGAGGCGAACCGGGGGAACUGAAACAUCUAAGUACCCCGAGGAAAAGAAAUCAACCGAGAUUCCCCCAGUAGCGGCGAGCGAACGGGGAGCAGCCCAGAGUCUGAAUCAGCUUGUGUGUUAGUGGAACGGUCUGGAAAGUCCGACGGUACAGGGUGAUAGUCCCGUACACCAAAAUGCACAGGCUGUGAACUCGAAGAGUAGGGCGGGACACGUGGUAUCCUGUCUGAAUAUGGGGGGACCAUCC